GCCCUGGUGGCACAGUGGUUAAGCGUUUGGCUGCUAACCAAAAGGUUGCUGGUUCAGAUCCACCAGGCGCU
This 71-nucleotide transfer RNA is filed under the name Loxodonta africana (African savanna elephant). It matches the Rfam family "tRNA". From Rfam's summary of the family: Transfer RNA (tRNA) molecules are approximately 80 nucleotides in length. Their secondary structure includes four short double-helical elements and three loops (D, anti-codon, and T loops). The record is from Rfam by way of RNAcentral. Lineage: Eukaryota; Metazoa; Chordata; Mammalia; Proboscidea; Elephantidae.